GGGACACGUGGUAUCCUGUCUGAAUAUGGGGGGACCAUCCUCCAAGGCUAAAUACUCCUGACUGACCGAUAGUGAACCAGUACCGUGAGGGAAAGGCGAAAAGAACCCCGGCGAGGGGAGUGAAAAAGAACCUGAAACCGUGUACGUACAAGCAGUGGGAGCACGCUUAGGCGUGUGACUGCGUACCUUUUGUAUAAUGGGUCAGCGACUUAUAUUCUGUAGCAAGGUUAACCGAAUAGGGGAGCCGAAGGGAAACCGAGUCUUAACUGGGCGUUAAGUUGCAGGGUAUAGACCCGAAACCCGGUGAUCUAGCCAUGGGCAGGUUGAAGGUUGGGUAACACUAACUGGAGGACCGAACCGACUAAUGUUGAAAAAUUAGCGGAUGACUUGUGGCUGGGGGUGAAAGGCCAAUCAAACCGGGAGAUAGCUGGUUCUCCCCGAAAGCUAUUUAGGUAGCGCCUCGUGAAUUCAUCUCCGGGGGUAGAGCACUGUUUCGGCAAGGGGGUCAUCCCGACUUACCAACCCGAUGCAAACUGCGAAUACCGGAGAAUGUUAUCACGGGAGACACACGGCGGGUGCUAACGUCCGUCGUGAAGAGGGAAACAACCCAGACCGCCAGCUAAGGUCCCAAAGUCAUGGUUAAGUGGGAAACGAUGUGGGAAGGCCCAGACAGCCAGGAUGUUGGCUUAGAAGCAGCCAUCAUUUAAAGAAAGCGUAAUAGCUCACUGGUCGAGUCGGCCUGCGCGGAAGAUGUAACGGGGCUAAACCAUGCACCGAAGCUGCGGCAGCGACACUAUGUGUUGUUGGGUAGGGGAGCGUUCUGUAAGCCUGUGAAGGUGUGCUGUGAGGCAUGCUGGAGGUAUCAGAAGUGCGAAUGCUGACAUAAGUAACGAUAA
RNAcentral lists this ribosomal RNA (896 nucleotides) under Escherichia coli. Its description in RNAcentral is "partial 23S ribosomal RNA". It matches the Rfam family "Bacterial large subunit ribosomal RNA", at positions 419 to 1315 of the family's 2925-position model. The record is from RNAcentral. Lineage: Bacteria; Pseudomonadati; Pseudomonadota; Gammaproteobacteria; Enterobacterales; Enterobacteriaceae.